UGAACGCUGGCGGCGUGCCUACUACAUGCAAGUCGAGCGAACGGACGAGAAGCUUGCUUCUCUGAUGUUAGCGGCGGACGGGUGAGUAACACGUGGAUAACCUACCUAUAAGACUGGGAUAACUUCGGGAAACCGGAGCUAAUACCGGAUGAUAUUUUGAACCGCAUGGUUCAAAAGUGAAAGACGGUCUUGCUGUCACUUAUAGAUGGAUCCGCGCUGCAUUAGCUAGUUGGUAAGGUAACGGCUUACCAAGGCAACGAUGCAUAGCCGACCUGAGAGGGUGAUCGGCCACACUGGAACUGAGACACGGUCCAGACUCCUACGGGAGGCAGCAGUAGGGAAUCUUCCGCAAUGGGCGAAAGCCUGACGGAGCAACGCCGCGUGAGUGAUGAAGGUCUUCGGAUCGUAAAACUCUGUUAUUAGGGAAGAACAUAUGUGUAAGUAACUGUGAACAUCUUGACGGUACCUAAUCAGAAAGCCACGGCUAACUACGUG
RNAcentral lists this ribosomal RNA (495 nucleotides) under uncultured bacterium. RNAcentral describes it as "partial 16S ribosomal RNA". It matches the Rfam family "Bacterial small subunit ribosomal RNA", at positions 30 to 507 of the family's 1533-position model. The record is from RNAcentral.